RNAcentral lists this ribosomal RNA (239 nucleotides) under uncultured bacterium. RNAcentral's name for it is "partial 16S ribosomal RNA". It matches the Rfam family "Bacterial small subunit ribosomal RNA", at positions 98 to 334 of the family's 1533-position model. The record is from RNAcentral.
CCGCACGGGUGAGUAACACGUAUGCAAUCCACCUGUAACAGGGGGAUAACCCGGAGAAAUCCGGACUAAUACCCCAUAAUAUGGGCGCUCCGCAUGGAGAGCCCAUUAAAGAGAGCAAUUUUGGUUACAGACGAGCAUGCGCUCCAUUAGCCAGUUGGCGGGGUAACGGCCCACCAAAGCGACGAUGGAUAGGGGUUCUGAGAGGAAGGUCCCCCACAUGGAACUGAGACACGGUCCAA